UACGUAGGUGGCGAGCGUUGUCCGGAUUUACUGGGCGUAAAGAGCGCGCAGGCGGUCAAGUAAGUCGAAUGUGAAAGCCCCCGGCUCAACUGGGGAGGGUCAUUCGAUACUGCUCGACUCGAAGGCAGGAGAGGGAAGUGGAAUUCCCGGUGUAGUGGUGAAAUGCGUAGAUAUCGGGAGGAACACCAGUGGCGAAGGCGACUACCUGGCCUGUUCUUGACGCUGAGGCGCGAAAGCUAGGGGAGCAAACGGG
RNAcentral lists this ribosomal RNA (253 nucleotides) under uncultured bacterium. RNAcentral describes it as "partial 16S ribosomal RNA". It matches the Rfam family "Bacterial small subunit ribosomal RNA", at positions 524 to 776 of the family's 1533-position model. The record is from RNAcentral.